This 429-nucleotide ribosomal RNA is filed under the name uncultured Glomeromycotina. RNAcentral describes it as "SSU rRNA". It matches the Rfam family "Eukaryotic small subunit ribosomal RNA", at positions 569 to 1004 of the family's 1831-position model. Lineage: Eukaryota; Fungi; Glomeromycota. The record is from RNAcentral.
AGCAGCCGCGGUAAUUCCAGCUCCAAUAGCGUAUAUUAAAGUUGUUGCAGUUAAAAAGCUCGUAGUUGAAUUUCGGGGUCAGUAGGUUGGUCAUGCCUCCGGUAUGUACUGGUCUCACUGAUUCCUCCUUCCUGAUGAGCCGUAAUGCCAUUAAUUUGGUGUUGCGGGAAUCUGGACUGUUACUUUGAAAAAUUAGAGUGUUUAAAGCAAGCUAACGCUUGAAUACAUUAGCAUGGAAUAAUGGAAUAGGACGUUCGAUCCUAUUUUGUUGGUUUCUAGGAUUGACGUAAUGAUUAAUAGGGAUAGUUGGGGGCAUUAGUAUUCAAUUGUCAGAGGUGAAAUUCUUGGAUUUAUUGAAGACUAACUACUGCGAAAGCAUUUGCCAAGGAUGUUUUCAUUAAUCAAGAACGAAAGUUAGGGGAUCGAAGA